AAUCAACGCUGGCGGCGUGCCUCAGACAUGCAAGUCGAACGCGAAAGUUUCCUUCGGGGAACAAGUAGAGUGGCGCACGGGUGAGUAACACGUAGGUAAUCUACCUUUGGAUGGGGAAUAACAACCGGAAACGGUUGCUAAUACCGCAUAAUGCAGCGGCACCUAAUGGUGACAGUUGUUAAAGCGGGGGAGUCGAAAGACCUCGCGUCUGAAGAGGAGCCUGCGGCGGAUUAG
This 234-nucleotide ribosomal RNA is filed under the name uncultured bacterium. Its description in RNAcentral is "partial 16S ribosomal RNA". It matches the Rfam family "Bacterial small subunit ribosomal RNA", at positions 32 to 244 of the family's 1533-position model. The record is from RNAcentral.